RNAcentral lists this ribosomal RNA (373 nucleotides) under uncultured bacterium. Its description in RNAcentral is "bacterial SSU rRNA". It matches the Rfam family "Bacterial small subunit ribosomal RNA", at positions 521 to 896 of the family's 1533-position model. The record is from RNAcentral.
UAAUACGGAGGGUGCAAGCGUUAUCCGGAUUCACUGGGUUUAAAGGGUGCGUAGGUGGGUAGGUAAGUCAGUGGUGAAAUCCCCGAGCUUAACUUGGGAACUGCCGUUGAUACUAUUUAUCUUGAAUAUCGGGUAGGUAAGCGGAAUAUGUCAUGUAGCGGUGAAAUGCUUAGAUAUGACAUAGAACACCAAUUGCGAAGGCAGCUUACUUCAAGAUUAUUGACACUGAGGCACGAAAGCGUGGGGAUCAAACAGGAUUAGAUACCCUGGUAGUCCACGCCCUAAACGAUGGAUACUCGACAUCAGCGAUAUACUGUUGGUGUCUGAGCGAAAGCAUUAAGUAUCCCACCUGGGAAGUACGACCGCAAGGUUG